This 253-nucleotide ribosomal RNA is filed under the name uncultured bacterium. RNAcentral describes it as "partial 16S ribosomal RNA". It matches the Rfam family "Bacterial small subunit ribosomal RNA", at positions 524 to 776 of the family's 1533-position model. The record is from RNAcentral.
UACAGAGGUCUCAACCGUUGUUCGGAUUCAUUGGGCGUAAAGGGUGCGUAGGCGGUCGCGCAAGUCGGAUGUGAAAUCUCGAGGCUCAACCUCGAAACUGCAUUCGAUACCGCGUGGCUAGAGUGCUGGAGGGGAGACUGGAAUUUACGGUGUAGCAGUGAAAUGCGUAGAUAUCGUAAGGAAGACCAGUGGCGAAGGCGAGUCUCUGGACAGCAACUGACGCUGAGGCACGAAGGCCAGGGGAGCAAACGGG